This 1493-nucleotide long non-coding RNA is filed under the name Triticum aestivum (bread wheat). RNAcentral describes it as "long non-coding RNA (TAES_LNC010600)". Lineage: Eukaryota; Viridiplantae; Streptophyta; Magnoliopsida; Poales; Poaceae. The record is from RNAcentral.
UUUUUUUUUGUUUUGCUAGAGCUCCUCGGAUGUCCAAACACCAUGAAAAUUUGCCUGCACCCGAGCAUCUUGGAUGCCAAAAGAAGUAGGAGGUAUUUCUCUGGUAGUGAUAAAAAUUGGCAAAAAGAGUCUAGGUUUCAAUUAUGUAACUUCUAGACCUAAUUUGAUUUUGUCUAAAACUGGCAUCGGUUCCCGUUUUCGGGAGGGAUAACUUGCACCAUAACUGCUUCUACAACUUUUUACAGAUGGAGAGUAGGAAAUGGACUUAAUAUUAGCUUCUGCGAUGAUAUUUGGUCAGGGGAUUGUUCCUUGAAAACAGACAGGGCGAUUCAAUCUGAGCUACUCUUGCCCAUGAAGAGUAGCAAAAAAGAAAAAAUAAUUCUGAAAAUUUUCAACGUCCAAGAUAUUCGGGUGUGCAAUGCGCGUGCAAAUGUUCGUGGUGUUUGGACAUUUGAGGAGGUCGUGACGAAAAAACAAAACUUGCCACUCAAAGAAACUUUGAAAAAAAUGCACUGUUUAGAAACUUUUUUUUUUGUUUUGCUAGAGCUCCUCAGAUGUCCAAACACCAUGAAAAUUUGCCCGCAUCCGAGCAUCUUGGAUGCCAAAAAAAGAAAAUCGGAUUCUUUUGAAUUUUCUUUUUUAUCACUGUUCAUCGGGUGUAGAUGAGCCUGAGCUCAGAUAGCAAUUACAAUUUGUUUAUAUAUAUGUAAUCAACAGGAUUGUUCAGUAUCCCAGGUCUGGGAUGGACCAACCUGAAGUUCUUUUCAGGAGAUGUGUAGAUGUGAAGCUUUUCUGAGAUUAGCAAAAAUUGCUUUGCUUGUUAGAAACUGUGACUCUUCCUUCUUAUAGAGAUUGCCCAGUCUGGCUAUUGGAGCCUUCUGGCUGUUAUUCUGUUAAGUCCUUCUAUAAUGCCAUAAUCUUUGGACAUGUGGUCUCACCCCAAGAAUUGAUUAGGAAGAUUUUGACUCCUCAAAAAAAUUAUGUAUUCCUUUGGUUGUGUUUUAUAAGCAAAAAUCAACUACGGAUAAUAAUCUAGCUAAGAGAUGGACUGUCGAUGACAUGGCUUUCUAUAAUUGCAACCGACAAAGCUGACACGAUUAGGAGGCCUCUAGUUUGCUCUUGCGGCAGCUGGUCUAAAGACUUGUGGGCUUUCCUUUUCAGACACCAGGACUUGUCGCUUGUUUGUUGCUUAGGACGAACACGUUCCAAUCAAGUGUUUCAAGACAAAAAUAGCAAGGUUGAGAAUGAAUAAUCUCUGUUCGCUUUAUUCAGUAGAAAUGCUUACAGAAUGUCAAGUUUCUGACUCAAGCAAAGCAGCAAACAAACCUUUGUAGGAGAAAAAGAGAAUUACUGUUCACUCAGGGCAAGCCGUGGGAAAAAAAGGACUCACGCCACAUAAGAAUACGCACUCACAAACCACAAGGAGAAAAGAGGGGAGAAAAAGAAAAUGUACACUUCAGUUAGCGACAGUCUUCGGCGCACAGCGAGGAUUA